UAAUUGAAGAGUUUGAUCAUGGCUCAGAUUGAACGCUGGCGGCAGGCCUAACACAUGCAAGUCGAGCGGCAGCACAGAGGAACUUGUUCCUUGGGUGGCGAGCGGCGGACGGGUGAGUAAUGCCUGGGAAAUUGCCCGGUAGAGGGGGGAUAACCAUUGGAAACGAUGGCUAAUACCGCAUAACCUCGCAAGAGCAAAGCAGGGGACCUUCGGGCCUUGCGCUACCGGAUAUGCCCAGGUGGGAUUAGC
RNAcentral lists this ribosomal RNA (249 nucleotides) under Vibrio cholerae. Its description in RNAcentral is "partial 16S ribosomal RNA". It matches the Rfam family "Bacterial small subunit ribosomal RNA", at positions 1 to 245 of the family's 1533-position model. Lineage: Bacteria; Pseudomonadati; Pseudomonadota; Gammaproteobacteria; Vibrionales; Vibrionaceae. The record is from RNAcentral.